Anopheles coustani is the source of this 4465-nucleotide long non-coding RNA. RefSeq lists it as uncharacterized. The record is from RefSeq and is a predicted model, not a curated record. Lineage: Eukaryota; Metazoa; Arthropoda; Insecta; Diptera; Culicidae. The transcript has 2 exons.
CAGCGCACCAUCAGCACACCGAAACUCAAAGACAUCCGGGUGUAAAAACGUAAACCGAUUUUGUCCGCCAUUACCACCGCCAGUUUACUUUCCAAUGGCAACGGCACCGUGCGACACCGGAAGCGUGCUUGAAAUUCCCACACCGAUGGGGAAAGUGCCCAGCAAUGGGGCGGUAUUUUUUGGCGAGACGACGGAAAAGCGAAACAACUUUCCCAUCAACAUCACCAUACGGAACUGAGCUGUCGGAGUGGACGGAAAAAAAACUACCAUUACUUUAUUGCAUCCGGCAUUCCGGUUCGUAUAGUUAUGCUGAUGCACUGGAAAGAAGGGAAAUUCUUUUUGAAAUGAAGCAACUUGAGAAAUGCAAUUCUUGGUUUGUGAGUGUGUGGAUUUCGAAACACUGAUAUGCAAACAGGAAACCAUCAACUAAUGAUAAAACCUUCGAUCACAAGCAUUUGAACGAAUAGCUCUGGGCCGUUUCCGGUAGGUGGGAUGUUAGAAAAUGUUUUACUUUUCAUUAUGCGUAUACCAUUUUCUUCGGAAUCCCAUUAAUUCCCCCCCCUCCCCGGCGUAACUGCGUUGUGUUGAAGCUCCACCAGAUUGGGGUGUGCGAUUGUGCCAGGGCUAUGGUGAAAACAUUAAUUUCCUUGUCCAUCUCGGAGGGAUCGCAAACAAGAGCGGGUUCACCGAGUGACCCGGAAGAGUUUGCUAGGCGUGUCCCAGGUGGCACGCAACAGGUAGAUUCCAUCAGUAUAGAAUGCACAGUUUUAGCGAGAAAAACACAACGCAACUCCCACCCCUCCCCCAACCCGGGUCGGCCGGGGGCCGCAGGGCUCCCCCAGGCACUCCCAGGCUCCAAACGGUCGGAGGACAGUAGCCGGUGGACUUGCUGGGGUGCUGGGAUGCUCACAAAAAAACGCAUCCUUGACGCAGCCUCCUCCAUGGCUGUGGAUGUGCCCCUGGCAACCGGGCGUAGAUUGCACCGGGAAAAUGGAACCGUUUCCCAGCCAACCGGCAGUAGUGCACUAUAAAUAGUUCGAGGCGCGAUGCCCGUGUAGGUGUACGGGCGACCAGUGUUGUGCAGCUUCGUCUGCCCGGAUUCUGGGUAAAGGUGCACGGGUGCACAAAAAGGGAAGAAAAGAGAGCAGGGAAAUAAUAACAAGGACUCGAAUCAAUAAAUCCGGGGUGCGAACCGUUUUGGAAUGCUAUCGGCAUCCAUUCCCGGCAUAGAUGGGAUUUGGGUUUUGAGUGAUGAUUUUCAUCACGGUUUUUGGGCUUCGUUGGGUAUUACCACUUCAUUUGGCACAUGCCUCGUCGUAUGAACGAUACGUUCAUGGAACGAAAAAAACAACAAUCAACAAAUUGGAAACCAAAACUGAAACCAAAUUUGAUGGCCGAGUGAUUUAAUUGGCGUUUUAAAAUUGCGAAAAAAAGUCAUUUACCAUUCUUCGAAAGAACGAAUCGUUCCGCGUUUCGAUGUACUCGUAGCGCACUUUUACAAAAAGAACCGAAUUUCAGAGCCAAUUAGUCAAUUAGUUGAUGAAAAAUAAAUCUGUGUCAAAUUGCGAGCAGCCGUACUUAAAGUGCUUCAAACUGGCAGGACACUUUCUAGCGUAGAACGUGCAUUAGUUAACGUUGAUUAGCGAAAGACUAAAAAUAAAAGUAUUAAAAAAACACACACAAAAAAACAUAAACAUACUAUCCUUAGAACACGCAGUGGACAUAGGAAAAGAAUGUAAUGUAGAAACUUACAAUGGAGAGAGAGAAAGAGAAAAAAGUAUAGCAAAUUCUCCAUCAGUAUAAAAUAUUCAACACUAACCUUGCAUCAAAACGGGAGCUUCGUCAAAUGUGUACCAAAGUUCGACUAAUCCGUAGCAUCUGUUACAACAACCUGUUGUGACUUGAUCCGGAAUCAUCUACCGUUCGAUAAAAAAUACAUCAGUCAGUCAGAGUUCCAACGAUACGUGAUACCAGUUUAGGCCGGCAGUUCGUUUUGCCAAAUGCUUCGGAUUGCUCAAACUUUAUCCAUGCGCAAACGACGAAAGUCCCUACCAUAAGUAUAUUAUUUUGUAACAACUCAAAAGUACAUGAAACCGAUGCUAAAAGCUCAUUUCGAACAAUGCUUUCGAUUGCUGGAACUUGUCCACAACAACAGAUGAAAAAAACGUGAAAAGUUGUUUGUAGAUGGAAGAAAAUUAUCAUCGUUUGCACGUUUAACUGUUAAACUCGCGGAGCCUUUUUUCGAAGGACACCGCCGAUUAUAAUAACCCAUGGUAAAACCGAACAUGUAUAUUAAAAUAAUCUAAAUAAGAUACCCUAAAAACAUUUCCCUCUCAGUGUGAUUAUCACAAAGCUAAAGAAAACGAAAUAGAACGGAAGAUGAAUCAAUAAACGCAUUAGAAAUGGUACUGGAAAUAGAAAAUCCAAGUAAAAUAUACAAUGUUCGUGUGUAAGGAGAAUCUAUAAAAAAAAAUUUAAAAAAAACUACAAAAAAACAAAAAUUAAAAAAAGAAUAGAAAGACUAUGAUGUAAACAACAUGAGGAACAUGCAUAAUAAUCACUAAACCACAAAGAGGAAAAUUCACAAUGUUUUACCUAUAUCUACAGCUACUAAAUGGUGAAUGUUUACUCCGCAGUUUAUAGCCUUCAAGAGAACCCUGGAAGCAAUGGAAAAUAACAUAGCUGGCAAAGAAAAACAUGCAAGUGGAAAACGAAAGCUAAAAUGAAACAGAAACAAAUCAUUACAAUAUACCGAAACUUUAUAGAACAUGUUGCAUGUGAUACUGAUACAGAAACUGGUUCAUAUUAAAACGUUAUGUGUGAAACAAACAAUAUACAAUACAAACCCACACCGCAUCCACCGUGCUGAUUGCAGCAUCCACAACCGCAGUUCCAGAUGAGCCUAUCCCUCCAACCGGUCCCGGUCGGUCAACGUCUCCAACGCAAUCUUGGAGUGUGCCGUAACGUACGUAAGACGUAAGUGCAUGGAACUUGCUGCCCGUCAAUCUUCGGAGCGACAGGAGAAUGCAAAUGCCGCAGGCCACAUUGUACCGUAUUUGUCAAACCGACGCAACAGGCACGACCACGACAGGACGAUGACACACGAGAACACGGAGUGGAUUCUAGGAGGAUACUACAUUUGCUUUCCAAUUCUUUUCGACCAUUUGCAAUGCAGCAAAAAAGAAGAAAAUUACAUGUUGGCCGCCUGCCAGUCUCCCGUUCUAUCACCGCGUGGUACGUGUAGAGCCAACCGUCCCCGGAACCCCCUUAGUAACGGAACCGGGGCCUUGUAUUUUAAAUUUUUAUAGCUUUUCCCACGCACCACCAGCUACAACUCUCCCGCUCCCCUGGUUCUUUCAACGGGGAAAGUGCAUACGAGGAAACAUGCACCGACCGACACGGGAGCGGGAGAACAUCCUGAGGGCCGGCCUUCAGCGAGGCAAAUCCUCGCCCCCAUCGGUUCGGGAGUGAUUUUAUUUUUCGUUUUUCCCUACUGCAACGUUACGCCGACGUGUUUGGGUGGGGUUUUUCGCGCGGCAAUCAACAAUUACUCCCCAAGCAACCUUUCCCAUGGCAGAAAAAAAAUGCUCCCCAUUUCCGUUCGUCGACGACGACGACGACGAAUUGGUCGAAUUCUUUUGUGUGCCUGUGCUACAGGAAAGUUUUCUUUUGGUUUACUUCGUGCCACGAGAAUUGCUCAGGCAUUUUCGACUGCACUCCCAGGAAUUCCCGAACCAUUCCACUUGAUCUUUGGUCCUGUUUCUUCAACGUGAUCUAUAUUUUAUGUUUUGAACCAUUCCUUGCUGUUAUUGUACGCGCACCAAACACUCUCCCUAACGCUGCAGGAGCGAUACAUGACUCAGGCGAUGCGGAAAAUGAAGGUUUACAGGAUGGUAGCCGUGGCUUGGAGGGCAUUUAAUCUAAAAUGCCGGUGUGGGAAGGUUAAAGAAAAGAAAUUUAAAAUUCAACUUUUAAUAAAAUAAAACUAGCCACGUGCGCGGUAGAGCUUGACCCUGGUGAAGGCGUUUUUAUUUCAUGGACAGAGACAGCAGAGACUUGCAACGCUACAAACAAGGACAACAGUGACUCUUUACAUGAAAGAGGUUGGUUUUUGAAAAAUAUUUUAUAAAUUAUUGUAUUUAUUGCGAUGACGAACGUGACUUUCACAAGCAAUACGAGUGCAAUGGCUUGCGACUAGCAAGUUUAGUCAACGUACGAGGGCCGUUCGGGGGAUAUGGAAUAAUAAGGAAACAAACCUGAAACAACCAACCUACAAACAAGCCCUAAAACCAAGCAACAUAAUAACAAUAUAGAACAUACUUCACUAACUAUAUUUGUAAUGUUUUUUCCCGAUGCUGUAUUUAAAAUCUUGUCUGUGUCGAAAUGUUCAUUUUAAACUAAUAUUUUCUAGGAGAAAGGCGGUUGAGCAAAAUUAUGCAUGGAAUAUUUAUAUUAAAAAAAGAAA